CAGUAGCCGCGGUAAUACGGAGGGGGCUAGCGUUGUUCGGAAUUACUGGGCGUAAAGCGCACGUAGGCGGCUUGGUAAGUUAGAGGUGAAAGCCCAGGGCUCAACCCUGGAAUUGCCUUUAAGACUGCCGAGCUAGUAGGUGAGAGAGGUAAGUGGAAUUCCGAGUGUAGAGGUGAAAUUCGUAGAUAUUCGGAAGAACACCAGUGGCGAAGGCGGCUUACUGGCUCAUUCUAGACGCUGAGGUGCGAAAGCGUGGGGAGCAAACAGGAUUAGAUACCCGCGUAGUCCCUGUCUCUUAUAC
Molecule: ribosomal RNA, 301 nt
Filed under: uncultured bacterium
Lineage: Bacteria
Description: partial 16S ribosomal RNA
Rfam family: Bacterial small subunit ribosomal RNA
Source: RNAcentral